UACGUAGGGGGCAAGCGUUGUCCGGAUUUAUUGGGCGUAAAGAGCGUGUAGGCGGCCAAGCAGGUCAGCUGUGAAAACUCGAGGCUCAACCUCGAGACGUCGGUUGAAACCGCUUGGCUAGAGUCCGGAAGAGGAGAGUGGAAUUCCCGGUGUAGCGGUGAAAUGCGCAGAUAUCGGGAAGAACACCCGUGGCGAAGGCGGCUCUCUGGGACGGUACUGACGCUGAGACGCGAAAAGCGUGGGGGAGCGAACAGG
Molecule: ribosomal RNA, 255 nt
Filed under: uncultured bacterium
Lineage: Bacteria
Description: partial 16S ribosomal RNA
Rfam family: Bacterial small subunit ribosomal RNA
Source: RNAcentral